Homo sapiens (human) is the source of this 781-nucleotide long non-coding RNA. The record is from Ensembl. NCBI's taxonomy places the organism in Eukaryota, Metazoa, Chordata, Mammalia, Primates, Hominidae.
GUGGCCUGGGGCUGUCAGACAGUAGUGUCGCUGCAGGACACGGAGGAGACUGGCAGCGAGGCAGCAGGGUCGGCAGGAGCCCAUAAAGGUUCUGAUGACGCAUUCCUCAGGCCCAAUCCGUAGAGCAGGAGGUAAGCUUUGGACAAUGUUAAUCUUUUCUUGUAAAUAUUUAAACAUUUUAUAUUUGGUGGCAUAAUCCAUCUCAUUGUAUCCUUGAGAUUGAACAGUAUUAUGACUAUACAAAUUUCAGUAUAUGUCUCAGGAAAAAAUCACUGAACUAAGAAACAGAAAUAUCGGUAUUAUACUUAUUGCAAUAAGGGUUUUCAAGGAACAACAUUUAGGACAAAGAUUUUAUCAAAAUCACAAAACUAACCAUAUGUAGUAGCCAAUCACAGCUUAUAAAACUAAAAUGCAACUCAAUGGCUGCUCAAAAAUGCCUGAGAAUUCCUAAGAAUGCUGAAAAUGUCGCAACUCUAAGGGGAAGGGUUUGCAGUGCGGCAAGCCCGGCUACUUCCCAUUCUACCUGAGUGAUCUGAGCCACUCUCUCCAGCUCCCCACAGUGCAGAUCUGAGUGAGAGGCUCUUGUACUGGGUAUUGUCUGAAGUCUAAAGGCAGAACCCCUCCCUUGUGGUCUGCUUUAUAUUCACACACUGACGUGUCAAACACUUGACGAACUCAGUCAUUCAUGGCUGCCUUUUUUGAUCUGUCCUUAAUGGGGAAAAAAGAGUUAACUGAACUGGAUUGAAUUAGCUUGGUGAAAAAUAAAAUGUCUCUAUUUAUU